UCAUUUUAAUUUUUAACUCUAUUUGUUGUGGUGCUUUUUUUUUGGUGGUUAUUUUUUAUUUCAUUUUUGGAAAAAAUUUGGGUUUUUUUUUUUUGAAAAAGUGCUUAAAAUUUGGUUUUUGAACUGGAUUAGGACCCAGGUAAACAAAAUUUAUUAAUUCGGGAGUAAAGUUUUUUUUAAACCGAAAAAAUAUUGACUGACUUCGGAUUUUUCUUUGGAACAUGUGUUUUUUGGAGAGCCCUCCCUGUUGCUGGUUUUGUUGGCUCAUGUAUGAUUGUUUAGCUUUUAUUUUUUUUGGAAAGCUAUUUUUGGUUUUAUUUAAAACAGAUAUAUAUUUGGUUUAUGAAUCAGNUAUCAUGUGUUACUAUUAUUAAUUUUUUUCGGAUUUAAUUUUUAUUUUUUUUUGAAGUUGGAAAAGAAAGUAAUUUUUUUUUUAUGUAUUAAGNAAUUAAAAACGGCAGU
Molecule: ribosomal RNA, 462 nt
Filed under: Setaria digitata
Lineage: Eukaryota; Metazoa; Nematoda; Chromadorea; Rhabditida; Setariidae
Description: partial 12S ribosomal RNA
Source: RNAcentral